This 253-nucleotide ribosomal RNA is filed under the name uncultured prokaryote. RNAcentral's name for it is "partial 16S ribosomal RNA". It matches the Rfam family "Bacterial small subunit ribosomal RNA", at positions 524 to 776 of the family's 1533-position model. The record is from RNAcentral.
UACGUAGGUGGCAAGCGUUGUUCGGAAUUAUUGGGCGUAAAGGGCGCGUAGGCGGCUUGUUAAGUCGGCUGUGAAAUCUCCGGGCUUAACCCGGAAAGGUCAGCCGAUACUGCGGGGCUAGAGUGCAGAAGGGGCAACUGGAAUUCUCGGUGUAGCGGUGAAAUGCGUAGAUAUCGAGAGGAACACCUGCGGCGAAGGCGGGUUGCUGGGCUGACACUGACGCUGAUGCGCGAAAGCUAGGGGAGCGAACGGG